UACGUAGGGGGCGAGCGUUGUCCGGAGUUAUUGGGCGUAAAGAGCGUGUAGGCGGCCAUGUAGGUCCGUUGUGAAAACUCGAGGCUCAACCUCGAGACGCCGAUGGAAACCAUGUGGCUAGAGUCCGGAAGAGGAGAGUGGAAUUCCUGGUGUAGCGGUGAAAUGCGCAGAUAUCAGGAAGAACACCCGUGGCUAAGGCGGCUCUCUAGUACGGUACUGACGCUGAGACGCGAAAGCGUGGGGAGCGAACAGG
This 253-nucleotide ribosomal RNA is filed under the name uncultured bacterium. RNAcentral's name for it is "partial 16S ribosomal RNA". It matches the Rfam family "Bacterial small subunit ribosomal RNA", at positions 524 to 776 of the family's 1533-position model. The record is from RNAcentral.